Molecule: ribosomal RNA, 253 nt
Filed under: uncultured bacterium
Lineage: Bacteria
Description: partial 16S ribosomal RNA
Rfam family: Bacterial small subunit ribosomal RNA
Source: RNAcentral
UACGGAGGGUGCGAGCGUUGUCCGGAAUUACUGGGCGUAAAGGGCGCGUAGGCGGCCUUCUAAGUCAGACGUGAAAUCCCCCGGCUUAACCUGGGAACUGCGUCUGAUACUGGGAGGCUUGAGUAUGGGAGAGGGAUGUAGAAUUCCAGGUGUAGCGGUGAAAUGCGUAGAUAUCUGGAGGAAUACCGGUGGCGAAGGCGGCAUCCUGGACCAUUACUGACGCUGAGGCGCGAAAGCUAGGGGAGCAAACGGG